This is a long non-coding RNA of Suricata suricatta (meerkat), 562 nucleotides long. RefSeq lists it as uncharacterized. The transcript has 2 exons. The record is from RefSeq and is a predicted model, not a curated record. NCBI's taxonomy places the organism in Eukaryota, Metazoa, Chordata, Mammalia, Carnivora, Herpestidae.
AAUAGGGUGAGUUAGGUGUUGGCCGAAUAUUAAGACUUUGCGAACAUCUCAAAUUGUCAGGUAGGACGUUGGUUUCCUCAAGAGGUCUGUAUCAUUAGAGAUGUUUUCACUGAAGGCCCGGUCUCCAGGUGUACUAAAGAUCACCAAACCCACUAGAAAGUAGACAUCUUGCCUCUACCAAUGGUUCGUGUUCUCUUUCUGGAAUAUGGAACUUUUGCUGCAAAGUGGUUGUAUAGCCAAAGGUGUCAUCUCCCAGCACUCCCAAUACUUGAGGUGUGGCCACAUGACCGAGUUCUGUCUGGUGCUAUGUAAGCAGAAGUCUCCUGUGUCGCUUGUAGAUGAGGUGAAUAAAAAUCUUCUUUGUAGUCUUUCACUCUCUUCCCUUCCUGCUAGCUGGAAGUCCAUGUCCAAAGUAAUCCAGGAAGCUACGUGUGACAGAUGAUAGAGGUCUCUUUAUCCUGGGUGCCUCAAUGACUCCUGGAGCAGAGCAUGGCCUCACCUCCACCCAUGCCUUGCUUGGACCUUCCAUGACCAAAAAAUAAACUCCUGUUUCGUUACACCA